This 1569-nucleotide long non-coding RNA is filed under the name Gallus gallus (chicken). Lineage: Eukaryota; Metazoa; Chordata; Aves; Galliformes; Phasianidae. The record is from RNAcentral.
CGGGCGCGCUGAGUGAGGGUGUUGCCUUUCUGUCAGCAGCGCAGGGCUUAAGCGUUCAGUGUGGUGUUAUAUGGUUCAUUAAUUACCAGUUGCUCCUUGAGGUAUUGUGCCACAACUCUGCUCUUCUGGGAUUUAUGGACUUUAGCCCGCGUUCAGCCGUGACGACGUAAACUUUGACUUUCUCACAGGCCGCUCUCCAGACAGACCAUUUCAGGCUGCUGCUGCAUCCCAACCGGCGCUUUUUUCCUGUUCUCUGGGAUCUCACAUGGAAUCUCUCGAGAACUCCCAGCCCACCGCGUUCCUCUGACCUCUCAGAAGGGGCUGUAAGCUCACAUAAGUCAUUCUUUAUCAUCUUCAGAAAGGUCUUGGAGCUGAGGGGAAGCCACAUCCACAUUCAAGGGAUGCUUUAAGCAACAGAUUCAACCUCUCGCUCAAAGCAGAGAUCUGAGGCAGAAUGAAAAUACUAUCAAGCUUUUCAUCCUUUCCGUGUUUAAACUAACUUGCCUCUAUACGAUGUAUGAUGCUGUCCAAGCGAGUCACCCCCAAGCUCUCUGAAGACAGGAUGCCAGCCAUGGGAUCAACAGUCAGAGUUGCCCCUGAGGGUGGUGGCACAGCACACUGUGUAAUUCCCCAGGGCCCACGUACCUGAGGAUUCAUGAAGACUGUCCAGAAUGAGCUAUGCGGGUAGAAGAGGAGGAAGACUUGGACUGGUUCUCACUGGAACCGCCUUUCCGUCUGUAGAGUAUCAAUGUGCACAGAUGUGUACCACCACACCUGCAGUGCUGAAUCCCGAAGGUGAAUGCAUACAGCCCCAGCCUUGAGACCAGCAGGGGAUUUUUACAGCAGCCCUCAUCCUUCUGAACAUAACCACUAGAUGGGGAAGCAGGCACUUCGUUUCACAGGAUCUCUUACUCAGAAAUUUCCCUUCUUUGCUAUUGACUGUGCUCACGUAAUGUCCCAAAUCACCGCAUUCUUGCCUCUCUCUCUGGCAUAUCUAAACACCUACCUCAGAGGCCCGCUAUGUAGCAUCAGACGGGGAUUUCAGCCUGCCAGGGCUUGCUAGUGCUGCAAGACCCCAAAAGAAAGACCCUGAAUCUGAAGGCACACAGUGCAUGGGUGGGCACGGAAAUGUUUGAGCAGAAGAGCUUUCAGAUACAUUUGCAAACAAACAUUACCUUUAGUCUCUUCUCUGUCUUCUAUACAGCUAUGAUGUUUUUAAAGAUUUCCUGGCAGUCUGCAACAUUUUUACCUGUAAUAGAAUCGAGACCUGUCUUGGCUUUAUGACCUACCUCUUUAAAAUGUCAUCAAAGCCAAUUAUUAAUUUAGAAACAAAAGCUACAAACAUACAUUGUAGUGUAUAUUAUGGGGGGAAUAAAAGCUUUGGGGUGUGAUGCUGAUGUGCCUGGUAAUCAGUGUUUGUUCUGAAUGACGAGGUUAUCAGCUGUGAUGAUUUUUACCACGACAAUUUUGUGCAUUUAGAAUGUUGUAGUGGAAAAUCUCUCAUUGUGUGAAUUCCAGGCUUCAUUCUAAGUGCCACCUUCCUGCAAUAAGAUCAUAGGAGGCGCUGCC